RNAcentral lists this ribosomal RNA (498 nucleotides) under uncultured bacterium. Its description in RNAcentral is "partial 16S ribosomal RNA". It matches the Rfam family "Bacterial small subunit ribosomal RNA", at positions 899 to 1397 of the family's 1533-position model. The record is from RNAcentral.
ACUCAAAUGAAUAGACGGGGGCCCGCACAAGCGGUGGAGCAUGUGGUUUAAUUCGACGCAACGCGAAGAACCUUACCUGGGCUCGAACGGCUUCAGACCGGUGGUAGAAAUAUCGCCCUUCCCGCAAGGGACUGGAGUCGAGGUGCUGCAUGGCUGUCGUCAGCUCGUGUCGUGAGAUGUUGGGUUAAGUCCCGCAACGAGCGCAACCCUUGUCCUGUGUUGCUAAUCGAAAGAUGCACUCUCAGGAGACCGCCAGCGAUAAGUUGGAGGAAGGUGGGGAUGACGUCAAGUCAUCAUGGCCUUUAUGUCCAGGGCUACACACGUGCUACAAUGGGCGGUACAAAGCGAAGCGAACUCGCGAGAGGAAGCUAAUCGCAAAAAACCGCUCUCAGUUCGGAUUGCAGGCUGCAACUCGCCUGCAUGAAGCUGGAAUCGCUAGUAAUGGCGUAUCAGAAUGACGCCGUGAAUACGUUCCCGGGCCUUGUACACACCGCCCGU